Molecule: ribosomal RNA, 497 nt
Filed under: uncultured bacterium
Lineage: Bacteria
Description: partial 16S ribosomal RNA
Rfam family: Bacterial small subunit ribosomal RNA
Source: RNAcentral
GAUGAACGCUGGCGGCGUGCCUAAUACAUGCAAGUCGAGCGAACAGACGAGGAGCUUGCUCCUCUGACGUUAGCUGCGGACGGGUGAGUAACACGUGGAUAACCUACCUAUAAGACUGGGAUAACUUCGGGAAACCGGAGCUAAUACCGGAUAAUAUAUUGAACCGCAUGGUUCAAUAGUGAAAGACGGUUUUGCUGUCACUUAUAGAUUGAUCCGCGCCGCAUUAGCUAGUUGGUAAGGUAACGGCUUACCAAGGCGACGAUGCGUAGCCGACCUGAGAGGGUGAUCGGCCACACUGGAACUGAGACACGGUCCAGACUCCUACGGGAGGCAGCAGUAGGGAAUCUUCCGCAAUGGGCGAAAGCCUGACGGAGCAACGCCGCGUGAGUGAUGAAGGUCUUCGGAUCGUAAAACUCUGUUAUUAGGGAAGAACAAAUGUGUAAGUAACUAUGCACGUCUUGACGGUACCUAAUCAGAAAGCCACGGCUAACUACGUG